This 128-nucleotide small RNA is filed under the name Anaerosalibacter massiliensis. Its description in RNAcentral is "HNH endonuclease-associated RNA and ORF (HEARO) RNA". It matches the Rfam family "HNH endonuclease-associated RNA and ORF (HEARO) RNA", at positions 17 to 128 of the family's 211-position model. The record is from RNAcentral. Lineage: Bacteria; Bacillati; Bacillota; Tissierellia; Tissierellales; Sporanaerobacteraceae.
UGAAGUUGAAGCUUGCAAAAGCUUUAGCUGUCUACUUUAAGUCUUUCAAUACAUGGUUAGCCAUGGUAAGUCGACUACAUUAUUUAGGCUAUGACACCCUCGGAUGAUACCCUAGUCCGUUGCUCUGU